This 72-nucleotide transfer RNA is filed under the name Deltaproteobacteria bacterium. RNAcentral's name for it is "tRNA-Gln". It matches the Rfam family "tRNA". From Rfam's summary of the family: Transfer RNA (tRNA) molecules are approximately 80 nucleotides in length. Their secondary structure includes four short double-helical elements and three loops (D, anti-codon, and T loops). The record is from RNAcentral. Lineage: Bacteria; Pseudomonadati; Myxococcota; Myxococcia.
UGGGGUGUAGGUCAAGGGUAGACCGGCGGACUUUGGCUCCGCAUGCUGGUGGUUCGAAUCCACCCGCCCCAG